GGGGCGGUGGCGGAACUGGCAGACGCAGGAGACUUAAAAUCUCCCGGCCGCAAGGCCAUGUGGGUUCGACCCCCACCCGCCCUA
Molecule: transfer RNA, 84 nt
Filed under: Anaerolineae bacterium
Lineage: Bacteria; Bacillati; Chloroflexota; Anaerolineae
Description: tRNA-Leu
Rfam family: tRNA
About the family: Transfer RNA (tRNA) molecules are approximately 80 nucleotides in length. Their secondary structure includes four short double-helical elements and three loops (D, anti-codon, and T loops).
Source: RNAcentral